UUUUUAAAAUCAUAAAAACUAAUCAAAUUUACUUGCGUGAAAAGCGGUUGAACUAAUAACACGGCUUAAGGACCCGUAGGAUAGGACGGCAUGCUUAAUCCGGUUUGUUCUCUAUGCAUUGAAAUUUAACACUUAGGGGGUGUUAUUGGUUUGGGAUUUAAAAAGAGUUUUAAUGACUUUAAAAGUUAUGUAGAAUAUGUUGUUAUUCAAUCAAGACUUUUUAAAACUCUGUUACAAUUUGGUGUUAUUGGUUGUGGAUUUAUAAAAAGUAAUCUAAAAUUUUUAUAAAUCUAGUGUUAUUGGAUUAAGAGUUUUAUAGAGUCAUUAAAAGUUUUGUGUUAUUCAAUUAAAACAAAAGAAUCUUGGAUUGUUGAUAACUUAAAAUAUUAUGUUAUUGGUUUAGGAUUGAUUGUACAUAAUUUUCU
This 425-nucleotide small RNA is filed under the name Arabidopsis thaliana (thale cress). RNAcentral describes it as "ATSL305420". Lineage: Eukaryota; Viridiplantae; Streptophyta; Magnoliopsida; Brassicales; Brassicaceae. The record is from RNAcentral.